This 479-nucleotide ribosomal RNA is filed under the name uncultured organism. RNAcentral describes it as "partial 16S ribosomal RNA". It matches the Rfam family "Bacterial small subunit ribosomal RNA", at positions 331 to 801 of the family's 1533-position model. The record is from RNAcentral.
GUACACUCCUGCGGGAGGCAGCAGUGGGGAAUAUUGCACAAUGGGCGCAAGCCUGAUGCAGCCAUGCCGCGUGUAUGAAGAAGGCCUUCGGGUUGUAAAGUACUUUCAGCGGGGAGGAAGGCGAUAAGGUUAAUAACCUUGUUGAUUGACGUUACCCGCAGAAGAAGCACCGGCUAACUCCGUGCCAGCAGCCGCGGUAAUACGGAGGGUGCAAGCGUUAAUCGGAAUUACUGGGCGUAAAGCGCACGCAGGCGGUCUGUCAAGUCGGAUGUGAAAUCCCCGGGCUCAACCUGGGAACUGCAUUCGAAACUGGCAGGCUAGAGUCUUGUAGAGGGGGGUAGAAUUCCAGGUGUAGCGGUGAAAUGCGUAGAGAUCUGGAGGAAUACCGGUGGCGAAGGCGGCCCCCUGGACAAAGACUGACGCUCAGGUGCGAAAGCGUGGGGAGCAAACAGGAUUAGAAACCCGAGUAGUCCCAUGAU